RNAcentral lists this ribosomal RNA (167 nucleotides) under Laleonectes nipponensis. RNAcentral describes it as "partial 16S ribosomal RNA". Lineage: Eukaryota; Metazoa; Arthropoda; Malacostraca; Decapoda; Portunidae. The record is from RNAcentral.
GCUUUAUAGAUUGUGAAAAUCUUACGGAUAUUAUUUGCAUAAGAAAGAUUUUUAAAGUCUAUUGGGUUGGGGCGACAAAGGUAUAAAUAAAAUAACUGCUAAAUAAUAUUACAGCAAUAAUUGAUUAAAAAUUAGUUGAUCCUUAUUAUGGAUUUAAAGAUCAAGUU